RNAcentral lists this ribosomal RNA (341 nucleotides) under Clio recurva. RNAcentral's name for it is "SSU rRNA". It matches the Rfam family "Eukaryotic small subunit ribosomal RNA", at positions 64 to 387 of the family's 1831-position model. Lineage: Eukaryota; Metazoa; Mollusca; Gastropoda; Pteropoda; Cliidae. The record is from RNAcentral.
UUCACACUGUCUCACGGUGAAACCGCGAAUGGCUCAUUAAAUCAGUCGAGGUUCCUUAGAUGACACGAUCCUACUUGGAUAACUGUGGCAAUUCUAGAGCUAAUACAUGCUUAUCAAGCUCCGACCCUCGUGGAAAGAGCGCUUUUAUUAGUUCAAAACCAAUCGUAGUUCCUCUUCGGAGGGCUGCGUCCUUUUUGGUGACUCUGGAUAACUUUGUGCUGAUCGCAUGGCCUUGCGCCGGCGACGCAUCUUUCAAAUGUCUGCCCUAUCAAAUGUCGAUGGUACGUGAUAUGCCUACCAUGUUUGUAACGGGUAACGGGGAAUCAGGGUUCGAUUCCGGA